AAGGACUUAAGUUAAUUAAACUAAUAGCCUUCAAAGUUAUAAAUAAAAGAAUUCUUUUAGGCCUUA
Molecule: transfer RNA, 66 nt
Filed under: Tanaocerus koebelei
Lineage: Eukaryota; Metazoa; Arthropoda; Insecta; Orthoptera; Pneumoridae
Description: tRNA-Trp
Source: RNAcentral